UUUGGGUCUGCUAAAUCGGAAUUUUGUAGUUUGUAGUCUAGCAGACCCAAUUUU
This 54-nucleotide small RNA is filed under the name Caenorhabditis elegans. Its description in RNAcentral is "Unclassified non-coding RNA F54D12.14". The record is from RNAcentral. Lineage: Eukaryota; Metazoa; Nematoda; Chromadorea; Rhabditida; Rhabditidae.